RNAcentral lists this long non-coding RNA (407 nucleotides) under Populus trichocarpa (black cottonwood). RNAcentral describes it as "long non-coding RNA (PTRI_LNC003029)". The record is from RNAcentral. Lineage: Eukaryota; Viridiplantae; Streptophyta; Magnoliopsida; Malpighiales; Salicaceae.
UGCCUUGUAGCCUGGUGGUUUGAGUUACACACGCUCAAUCCUAAAGGUUAUGGGUUCGAGGCCAAAGAGAAGGAAAAGGAAACCAUAUAUACUUCGAAAAGAGGUAUUCUAAAAUACCUUUUUGCCGGCCCCCAAAACACAUCUUGCAACCAGCCAGUCCACCAUGUGCUUGCAGACUGAAAAUGAUAGUACUGAGGAAGCAAGAUUACCAUGUAGUCUAUCAAGGAAUCUGAUGAGAUUAACUCUUUGCCAAUUCAACCGCAGCUGUUACCGUAAUAAGUGUCAGAUUUUAUGUUCUUCGUAAUCAUAGGAUUAGUUUGAAAUAUUGCUAUUAAUUUUGAUUGUAAUUAUCUUUCUGUUACACAUAUUUGAACUCCUGCAAUUAAGGUUCCUAGACUGUAUAAAUG